Coffea arabica (coffee) is the source of this 1891-nucleotide non-coding RNA. The record is from RefSeq and is a predicted model, not a curated record. NCBI's taxonomy places the organism in Eukaryota, Viridiplantae, Streptophyta, Magnoliopsida, Gentianales, Rubiaceae.
AUCUUUUUUUUUUUUUUGUAUUGAAUAUUAAAAAGAAAAAUUUUACUUUCUGAACCAAAAAAAAAAAAAAAAAAUAGAGGGUGUUUUUGUUAUGUUAAGAUAGGAAUGGAAUUUGAGAGUUUUGUCCAAAACUCUCUCCAACUACUUGGGUUUUGGGGAAUUCUACAUUUUAAGAAAUGAUUUCAAAAUUUUCAUUUCAAUAGUAUUAAUCUAAACAAUUUCAUUUAAUAUGGGUCCAUUCCAAAUCAUGAUUUCGAAACCCUUUUACCAAAUGCCAGCAUAGUUACUGGACUAACCCUCACAAUUAUAAAAUUAUCUUGUUGUAGAAAUUUUUUUUUUUUUUUUGGGAAAAGCUCUAGUGUCAAAAAAAAAAACCCCCCGACACCAAGAAAAGAGAGAAAAUACUACUACUACUACUACAAAUGAUUAAACUCCACGCGCCCAGUAGAUAAAUAAGCGAACAAACAAAAGAUUAACUAAAAAGAAGGUAAAAAGUCAUCAUCUGGACAAAGUUCAUCCAACAAUGGCCCACAUCACCUGACAGACCAUUGGUAUUACUCCACGCUGAGACCUGAGUACUCCCCCGCUAUAUCUCCGGCCACGCUUCCUCCUCUCUCCCUCUGUUUCCGCAUUCCCACACGCAACCCCGAAAGUCCCACCAAACUGAUGACUUCCUCAAAACGCUCCGACGACGCUCCUCCGUCGCCCCGCUUUCCACAAUCUUACUACCAACAACUCCCGUCGGACCCCCACCAGCAACCCCAACAACCUCAGUACAUCAUUCUUUUACCCCGUUACUACAACAACCGCCGCCCUCGGUUACACCUCAGCCGCACUUGGCGACGCUGUUUGAUCUGCCUACUCACUCUCGUCCUCCUGGGUCUAGCCGUCUUCCUCCUGUGGCCAUCCGACCCGGAGGUCUCCAUCGUCCGUCUCCGCCUCGAUCACUUAGGCAUCCACCUAUUUCCCAUACCCUCCCUCGACAUAACCCUAGACGUCACUGUCAAGAUUCGGAACAGAGAUUUUUUCUCCAUUGACUAUAAAUCCCUUAUUGUUGCGAUCGGGUACCGGGGGAAGCAGCUAGGCUACGCCACCUCGGAUCACGGCCAUAUUAAAGCUAGGGGUUCGUCGUAUGUUAAUGCUACGGUUCACCUGAGCGGCGUCAACAUUUUGUCGGAUAUGCUUCUGUUAAUUGAGGACUUAGCUACGGGAGAGAUAACGUUCGAUACGGAUACGAAAAUUGGUGGCCAGCUCGGCCUCGCCUUCUUUGAGAUUCCUCUCCAGAAGUAUAUGUCCAAUAAUGCCUUCAAAGAACACGUCCAUUUUAAGUUGCGUGGGUUGGGCUGCCUGGUCCUCCUAUUCUUCUGUUACAGAAGCAUAACUCCAAGGAAGACGUAACAAAUGGGACUUCAUGAUUAGCCUUUUCAUGCUUCCCCAGAUGAUAUGUGCCCCUGAUUUAUGAUGUGCUUGCUUAUGGUGUUCUGCAGGGGAAAGUGUCAUGUGAGAUUAAUGUAAAUAUCCACAAUCAGACAAUCGAGCACCAAAACUGUUACCCUGAGUGAUUAUGAUUAAGCUUGGAGACCACCACAUGCAGCAGCUCCAGAGUUGGCUUUGACAAACUCCCGUUCCUCAUUUAGUAUAGAGGUCUACGAUGAGUGAGAGAUUUGGGUUUGGAUCCCCUGUUUUAGCUAACUGAUAGCUGUCUUUACUACUAGAUUAUGGCGUAUUACAUUCCCUACAGCUACGGGGAGAAAAAAAAAAAAAAAAAAACUAAGGAUGAUGCUGCAGCAUAUGUAUCACGUAUAAACUACGUUAGAUUUGCCUGUAUAUGAACCUUAUGUAGACUAGCAGUGUAUAAUUUGUAAUAGAAACCACCAGUUUGUCGAGCGUA